UAUCCCUGCAGUGGUGUGGAGGCUGUGCUUUGGCAAAGACCUGAGCCCUAGGACCAUGCCUCAGGACUACCUGGCUUGAUGACUCCUUGCUGUCCCCAGUUCACCUGGCCGUGCUGCUGCUCCAGUUCCAACUGUUCUGCCUGCAGCUAUGGAACCCUGACCUGUUCACCGGACGUGCUACCUGUCCCAGACCUGUUGUCCCAGACCUGCUGGAACCCUGACCUAUUCACCGGACGUCCUACCUGUCCCAGAGUUGCUGUCCCAGACCUGCUGGAACCCUGACCUGUUCACCGGACGUGCUACCUGUCCCAGACCUGCUGUUUUCAACUCUCUAGAGACAGCAGGAGUGGUAGAGAUACUCUCAAAGAUCGGCUAUGAAAAAGCCAACUGACACUUACUCUUGUGUUACUGACUUGUUGCACCCUCGAC
RNAcentral lists this long non-coding RNA (429 nucleotides) under Salmo salar (Atlantic salmon). RNAcentral's name for it is "lncRNA (ENSSSAG00000098309.1)". Lineage: Eukaryota; Metazoa; Chordata; Actinopteri; Salmoniformes; Salmonidae. The record is from RNAcentral.